ACCUUGCUGACAAGUGCCAAGUAGCACGAAACUCUAGUCCAAGGU
This 45-nucleotide non-coding RNA is filed under the name Schistosoma haematobium. The record is from RNAcentral. Lineage: Eukaryota; Metazoa; Platyhelminthes; Trematoda; Strigeidida; Schistosomatidae.